AGACCUCAGCACCCUCAACAGGCUUUUUGCAAUGCAGAAGUUGUGAUCAGGGCGAAGGUGGUUGGAAGAAAGCGGUGUCUAACGACAUCAAGUAUGACAUCCAACAGAUCAAGCUGUUCAAUGGU
This is a non-coding RNA of Salvelinus sp. IW2-2015, 125 nucleotides long. The record is from RefSeq and is a predicted model, not a curated record. Lineage: Eukaryota; Metazoa; Chordata; Actinopteri; Salmoniformes; Salmonidae.